Non-coding RNA from Camelina sativa (false flax), 546 nucleotides. NCBI's taxonomy places the organism in Eukaryota, Viridiplantae, Streptophyta, Magnoliopsida, Brassicales, Brassicaceae. The record is from RefSeq and is a predicted model, not a curated record.
CUAGAAUUGUAGCAAGUGGUUGGCAGAAGAUGACAAAGAUUGCGUACAUGCAGACACGGAGCCACCUUUUACAGUUCUUCGUUUGAGAUACGCAAGAGACCUUUCUUUAUACACAAAUUGAUAGUUAUGUUAUAAUAACUACAGACCCCAGAUAAGUUUCACUAUCAAACUUGACAGACUUUACUAGAUCCAUUAUAUAGAUGGGGCAGGCGAUAGAUGACAGUAGUAUCAUAACUUAGUAGUCUCAUGUUGACCAUUGACUUUUCUUGUUUGGCUUACACAUGACUUGGAAUUCUUGUAACCUUCGAAUGGCGGCUCUAAGAAAACUUUUGUUUAACCAAUGCAGUAUAUCAGAAAUUAACAGAGAUACAAGAAGCCAAACUCCUGCGAUGGAAUAAAAGAGUUACUGUUUAAGUCACUACAUUGUUUAUUUGUUAUGUCAGUGGCGGCGUCCAAGUGGUUGAGAAAGUUUCAUCAACUCUUCUUCUUCUUUCUCCUGAGUUGCUUCUUCAGGUUGAGAAAGCUUCAUCAUCUCUUCUUCUUCUU